This 542-nucleotide ribosomal RNA is filed under the name Botryosphaeria dothidea. RNAcentral's name for it is "eukaryotic LSU rRNA". The stretch from base 189 to 342 matches the Rfam family "5.8S ribosomal RNA". The record is from RNAcentral. Lineage: Eukaryota; Fungi; Ascomycota; Dothideomycetes; Botryosphaeriales; Botryosphaeriaceae.
AUCAGUUACGGAGUUGAUUCGGGCUCCGGCCCGAUCCUCCCACCCUUUGUGUACCUACCUCUGUUGCUUUGGCGGGCCGCGGUCCUCCGCGGCCGCCCCCCUCCCCGGGGGGGUGGCCAGCGCCCGCCAGAGGACCAUCAAACUCCAGUCAGUAAACGAUGCAGUCUGAGGAACAUUUAAUAAACUAAAACUUUCAACAACGGAUCUCUUGGUUCUGGCAUCGAUGAAGAACGCAGCGAGAUGCGAUAAGUAAUGUGAAUUGCAGAAUUCAGUGAAUCGUCGAAUCUUUGAACGCACAUUGCGCCCUUUGGUAUUCCGAAGGGCAUGCCUGUUCGAGCGUCAUUACAACCCUCAAGCUCUGCUUGGUAUUGGGCACCGUCCUUUGCGGGCGCGCCUCGAAGACCUCGGCGGUGGCGUCUUGCCUCAAGCGUAGUAGAACAUACAUCUCGCUUCGGAGCGCAGGGCGUCGCCCGCCGGACGAACCUUCUGAACUUUUCUCAAGGUUGGCCUCGGAUCAGGUAGGGAUACCACGCUGAACUUAA